CUCUCCCCUCUCUUCUCUCUCCUCUCUCUUCUUCCUUCCCACACACGACAGAACCAACUUCUUCUUCUCCUUGUUUUGUCGCGUGCGAACCAGCAAGCCCGAACCAGAAGCAGCGAGCAUCACCGUCAGACGAAGACAGCAGCCGCUCGUCCCGCCGCCGCACCGCCGCUCACACGCCUGCGACAACUGCUCGCCCGUGCGCCCGCCGUCAUCCCGCCGUCCGCGCACGCCCAGGCCGCGCGAAUCAGCCCUGUUUCGCCCCUGUUCCGCACCGACCAGCCACCGUCCGGCCACCUCUGGCCACCGCCCAGCCUCGCCGGACUUCCCCGGCGUUCCCCUUACUCUCCGCCGGCCUUCCCUCGCCGUUUUGGCCGCCGGAUCUGCUCCGACCAGCCAAGGGCAGAAACCCACGAAAUGGGUUUCCAGCUGGUUCGGGCCCGUUUUGGGCCGUUUCCCGGCCCCGGAUCCGCGAGUCGCUUUGGAGUUUGUCGUUCCUCGCGUCGCCGCCGUCGGAUUGAUCCAAUUUGUGCGCGAUUUGGUGAGUAAUCUCACUAAUCUUGGAUUAGUUGGCUAAUUAUGCUUAAGGUUGGUUUAGAUUUAAUUAAUUAUGUUUAGGUUGUUAGAUUAUAAUAAAUUAGCAAUUAUUAGUGAAUUGUGAUGCGAUUUAGAUAAAUUGAUUGCGCAAUUAGCAAGUAGACGUGGUCUACUAAUUAUUGGAAGUGCUUCAGGAAUUUUCCCGACCCUUAGUGGGCUCCAAUUAGGCUUUUCGGGCCUAAGUGGAUAUUUUUAGUAUUUAAUUAUUAAUUUUCGGAAUUAAAUUAUUAUUUAUUUAUUUUCCGGAAAUUCAACUGAGAUGGCCUGGAACCGGAAAAUUAUGUUGAUGACCGUGGUGAAGUCCGUUUAUUUAAUCGGGCUUUAAUUUGAGCUAAAUGGGAUUUUUAAUAUUAAUUAUUUAAUAUUCGAAAUUAAUUAUUUAUUUAUUUAUUUUCCGGAAAUUCAACUGAGAUGGCCUGGAACCGGAAAAUUAUGCUGAUGACCGUGGUGAAGUCCGUUUAUUUAAUCGGGCUUUAUUUUGUACUAAAUUGAAUUUUUAAUAUUUAUUAAUUAUUUAUUUUUUGGAAAUUAAGAUUUUGAUGGCCGAUGACCGGAAUCUCGUGCUGAUCGUCGUGGCGCAGUCCGUUUAUUUAUUUGAGCUCUACGUUGUAUGGAAUUGAAUAAAUUGUGAUAUUUUAGGGAUUUACCCUAAAUUGAUUGGAAUCGAUUGAGAUUGAAUUAUCGAUUGGCGAAUGGCCAAGUAUGUUUAUUCAGCAUUUAUAAUGCUUUGUUGAGUUAAUUUAAUUAUUUGAUUGAGUAUUGAUUGAGAUUGAAUUGGCCAAGUGUGUUAUUUAGCAUUUAUAAUGCUUUAUUGAAUUGUUUAUGUUGGCUCUGUGAUCAGUGUAUCACCACGGCGAAAAAGACGCCCGAGAGCAUAUUGAAUUGUUUAUGUUGGCUCUGUGAUCAGUGUAUCACCAUGGCGAAAAAGACGCCCGAGAGCAUAUUGAAUUGUUUAUGUUGGCUCUGUGAUCAGUGUAUCACCAUGGCGAAAAAGACGCCCGAGAGCAUAUUGAAUUGUUUAUGUUGGCUCUGUGAUCAGUGUAUCACCAUGGCGAAAAAGACGCCCGAGAGCAUAGUAAAGUGUGCACUGUACGUCACCUUGGCGAAUCGACGCCCGAGAGCAUUGAUGGAGCUCUGUGACUAAGUGCAGGCAUCUAAAAGGGCACGUGGCUCGGUGACUUGAUGUAUCACCUUGGCGAAGAGGUCGCCUUAGAGAAUGCACGUGGGCCCAAGGUUCGAGGCACGUGACCCGGAGACUUGGAAGGUCAUCCUGGAGAAUGCACGUGGCCUAGCUUUUAAAUAUCCCACAGUGGGGAUUGAUGUGUUUGACAUGUAAUCGACUAGGUCGAUGCUUUGAUUUGAUGUUGUGAAUUGAUUGACUGAAUGGAAUUGACCGUGAGUGGUCUUGUCGGAAUAUAAUCGACUAGGUCGAUUUGAUCGAUGCUUCGAUCGGUGAUAUGUUUGCUUGGGUGCCUAUUAUGAAUUGUACUGACUUGCAGGUGGGAUCAGAGGCCAAGGUAAGUCCUCUGCCCUGUGCGUGUUUAGGCAGCCUUUAGUAUAAUAGUUUACUAAUCGGGCUUAGUGGGGUAGAACUCGCUGAGACGUAGUCUCAUCCCAGUUUGGGGAAAACCAUUUCAGGACCCCGGUGAGAAGCUGAAGAGGAGGAGUCUAAGAAGGAGAACUCGGAGGUGAAACUUAAGGAGAAAGAUUUUUGGGAGAAGAUGAUAAUCCCGAGAAGGGCCUUGAGUACGGCCCGGAUGGCUAAGAGUUUCUGUCUCCUUUUGAGAUCUCCGUUUUGAUGUGAAUAGUUUUGAAGUGGUUUGUGUUUUGUAUAAAAGUUUGGUUAUAAAUUUCAAUAUGAAAAAUAUGGCCCUGCUUUUCUAUCCCAUCGUUUUAUUGUCUGGGG
Molecule: long non-coding RNA, 2500 nt
Filed under: Eucalyptus grandis
Lineage: Eukaryota; Viridiplantae; Streptophyta; Magnoliopsida; Myrtales; Myrtaceae
Description: long non-coding RNA (EGRA_LNC005231)
Source: RNAcentral